GAUGAACCCCGGCGGGUGUGCCUUAAUACAUGCAAGUCGAACGCGUGCCCCAAUUGAUUGAUGGUGCUUGCACCUGAUAGAUUUUGGUCGCCAACGAGUGGCGGACGGGUGAGUAACACGUAGGUAACCUGCCCAGAAGCGGGGGACAACAUUUGGAAACAGAUGCUAAUACCGCAUAACAACGUUGUUCGCAUGAACAACGCUUAAAAGAUGGCUUCUCGCUAUCACUUCUGGAUGGACCUGCGGUGCAUUAGCCUGUUGGUGGGGUAAUGGCCUACCAAGGCGAUGAUGCAUAGCCGAGUUGAGAGACUGAUCGGCCACAAUGGGACUGAGACACGGCCCAUACUCCUACGGGAGGCAGCAGUAGGGAAUCUUCCACAAUGGGCGCAAGCCUGAUGGAGCAACACCGCGUGAGUGAAGAAGGGUUUCGGCUCGUAAAGCUCUGUUGUUAAAGAAGAACACGUAUGAGAGUAACUGUUCAUACGUUGACGGUAUUUAACCAGAAAGUCACGGCUA
RNAcentral lists this ribosomal RNA (516 nucleotides) under Limosilactobacillus fermentum. RNAcentral describes it as "bacterial SSU rRNA". It matches the Rfam family "Bacterial small subunit ribosomal RNA", at positions 28 to 499 of the family's 1533-position model. The record is from RNAcentral. Lineage: Bacteria; Bacillati; Bacillota; Bacilli; Lactobacillales; Lactobacillaceae.